CGGGACACGUGGUAUCCUGUCUGAAUAUGGGGGGACCAUCCUCCAAGGCUAAAUACUCCUGACUGACCGAUAGUGAACCAGUACCGUGAGGGAAAGGCGAAAAGAACCCCGGCGAGGGGAGUGAAAAAGAACCUGAAACCGUGUACGUACAAGCAGUGGGAGCCUCUUUAUGGGGUGACUGCGUACCUUUUGUAUAAUGGGUCAGCGACUUAUAUUCUGUAGCAAGGUUAACCGAAUAGGGGAGCCGAAGGGAAACCGAGUCUUAACUGGGCGUUAAGUUGCAGGGUAUAGACCCGAAACCCGGUGAUCUAGCCAUGGGCAGGUUGAAGGUUGGGUAACACUAACUGGAGGACCGAACCGACUAAUGUUGAAAAAUUAGCGGAUGACUUGUGGCUGGGGGUGAAAGGCCAAUCAAACCGGGAGAUAGCUGGUUCUCCCCGAAAGCUAUUUAGGUAGCGCCUCGUGAAUUCAUCUCCGGGGGUAGAGCACUGUUUCGGCAAGGGGGUCAUCCCGACUUACCAACCCGAUGCAAACUGCGAAUACCGGAGAAUGUUAUCACGGGAGACACACGGCGGGUGCUAACGUCCGUCGUGAAGAGGGAAACAACCCAGACCGCCAGCUAAGGUCCCAAAGUCAUGGUUAAGUGGGAAACGAUGUGGGAAGGCCCAGACAGCCAGGAUGUUGGCUUAGAAGCAGCCAUCAUUUAAAGAAAGCGUAAUAGCUCACUGGUCGAGUCGGCCUGCGCGGAAGAUGUAACGGGGCUAAACCAUGCACCGAAGCUGCGGCAGCGACGCUUAUGCGUUGUUGGGUAGGGGAGCGUUCUGUAAGCCUGCGAAGGUGUGCUGUGAGGCAUGCUGGAGGUAUCAGAAGUGCGAAUGCUGACAUAAGUAACGAUAAAGCGGGUGAAAAGCCCGCUCGCCGGAAGACCAAGGGUUCCUGUCCAACGUUAAUCGGGGCAGGGUGAGUCGACCCCUAAGGCGAGGCCGAAAGGCGUAGUCGAUGGGAAACAGGUUAAUAUUCCUGUACUUGGUGUUACUGCGAAGGGGGGACGGAGAAGGCUAUGUUGGCCGGGCGACGGUUGUCCCGGUUUAAGCGUGUAGGCUGGUUUUCCAGGCAAAUCCGGAAAAUCAAGGCUGAGGCGUGAUGACGAGGCACUACGGUGCUGAAGCAACAAAUGCCCUGCUUCCAGGAAAAGCCUCUAAGCAUCAGGUAACAUCAAAUCGUACCCCAAACCGACACAGGUGGUCAGGUAGAGAAUACCAAGGCGCUUGAGAGAACUCGGGUGAAGGAACUAGGCAAAAUGGUGCCGUAACUUCGGGAGAAGGCACGCUGAUAUGUAGGUGAAGCGACUUGCUCGUGGAGCUGAAAUCAGUCGAAGAUACCAGCUGGCUGCAACUGUUUAUUAAAAACACAGCACUGUGCAAACACGAAAGUGGACGUAUACGGUGUGACGCCUGCCCGGUGCCGGA
RNAcentral lists this ribosomal RNA (1469 nucleotides) under Escherichia coli. RNAcentral's name for it is "partial 23S ribosomal RNA". It matches the Rfam family "Bacterial large subunit ribosomal RNA", at positions 418 to 1873 of the family's 2925-position model. The record is from RNAcentral. Lineage: Bacteria; Pseudomonadati; Pseudomonadota; Gammaproteobacteria; Enterobacterales; Enterobacteriaceae.